GUGGGGAAUCUUGCGCAAUGGGCGAAAGCCUGACGCAGCCAUGCCGCGUGGAUGAUGAAGGUCUUAGGAUUGUAAAAUCCUUUCACCGGUGAAGAUAAUGACUGUAGCCGGAGAAGAAGCCCCGGCUAACUUCGUGCCAGCAGCCGCGGUAAUACGAAGGGGGCUAGUGUUGCUCCGAUUUACUGGGCGUAAAGGGCGCGUAGGCGGACAUUUAAGUCAGGGGUGAAAUCCCGGGGCUCAACCUCGGAACUGCCUUUGAUACUGGGUGUCUUGAGUAUGAGAGAGGUGUGUGGAACUCCGAGUGUAGAGGUGAAAUUCGUAGAUAUUCGGAAGAACACCAGUGGCGAAGGCGACACACUGGCUCAUUACUGACGCUGAGGCGCGAAAGCGUGGGGAGCAAACAGGAUUAGAUACCCUAGUAGUCC
RNAcentral lists this ribosomal RNA (425 nucleotides) under uncultured bacterium. RNAcentral describes it as "partial 16S ribosomal RNA". It matches the Rfam family "Bacterial small subunit ribosomal RNA", at positions 354 to 796 of the family's 1533-position model. The record is from RNAcentral.